RNAcentral lists this ribosomal RNA (253 nucleotides) under uncultured bacterium. RNAcentral describes it as "partial 16S ribosomal RNA". It matches the Rfam family "Bacterial small subunit ribosomal RNA", at positions 524 to 776 of the family's 1533-position model. The record is from RNAcentral.
UACGGGGGGGGCAAGCGUUGUUCGGAAUUACUGGGCGUAAAGGGCUCGUAGGUGGCCAACUAAGUCAGACGUGAAAUCCCUCGGCUUAACCGGGGAACUGCGUCUGAUACUGGAUGGCUUGAGUUUGGGAGAGGGAUGCGGAAUUCCAGGUGUAGCGGUGAAAUGCGUAGAGAUCGGGAAGAACACCAGUGGCGAAGGCGACGUGCUGGGUUGCAACUGACGCUGAGAUGCGAAAGUGUGGGGAGCAAACGGG